Molecule: ribosomal RNA, 454 nt
Filed under: uncultured bacterium
Lineage: Bacteria
Description: bacterial SSU rRNA
Rfam family: Bacterial small subunit ribosomal RNA
Source: RNAcentral
AUUGAACGCUGGCGGCAUGCCUUACACAUGCAAGUCGAACGGCAGCACGGGAGCAAUCCUGGUGGCGAGUGGCGAACGGGUGAGUAAUAUAUCGGAACGUGCCCAGUCGUGGGGAUAACGUAGCGAAAGCUACGCUAAUACCGCAUACGAUCUACGGAUGAAAGCGGGGGAUCGCAAGACCUCGCGCGAUUGGAGCGGCCGAUAUCAGAUUAGGUAGUUGGUGAGGUAAAGGCUCACCAAGCCGACGAUCUGUAGCUGGUCUGAGAGGACGACCAGCCACACUGGGACUGAGACACGGCCCAGACUCCUACGGGAGGCAGCAGUGAGGAAUAUUGGACAAUGGGCGCAAGCCUGAUCCAGCCAUGCCGCGUGCAGGAUAAGGUCCUAUGGAUUGUAAACUGCUUUUAUACAGGAAGAAACACACCCUCGUGAGGGUACUUGACGGUACUGUAUG